ACGGGUGAGUAACGCGUGGGAACGUGCCCUCUGGUUCGGAAUAACUCAGGGAAACUUGAGCUAAUACCGGAUACGCCCUUUUGGGGAAAGGCUUGCUGCCGGAGGAUCGGCCCGCGUCUGAUUAGCUAGUUGGUGAGGUAACGGCUCACCAAGGCGACGAUCAGUAGCUGGUCUGAGAGGAUGAUCAGCCACACUGGGACUGAGACACGGCCCAGACUCCUACGGGAGGCAGCAGUGGGGAAUAUUGGACAAUGGGCGCAAGCCUGAUCCAGCCAUGCCGCGUGAGUGAUGAAGGCCUUAGGGUUGUAAAGCUCUUUUAUCCGGGACGAUAAUGGCGGUACCGGAGGAAUAAGCCCCGGCUAACUUCGUGCCAGCAGCCGCGGUAAUACGAAGGGGGCUAGCGUUGCUCGGAAUCACUAGGCGUAAAGGGCGCGUAGGCGGCGUUUUAAGUCGGGGGUGAAAGCCUGUGGCUCAACCACAGAAUGGCCUUCGAUACUGGGACGCUUGAGUAUGGUAGAGGUUGGUGGAACUGCGAGUGUAGAGGUGAAAUUCGUAGA
This 557-nucleotide ribosomal RNA is filed under the name uncultured bacterium. Its description in RNAcentral is "bacterial SSU rRNA". It matches the Rfam family "Bacterial small subunit ribosomal RNA", at positions 102 to 694 of the family's 1533-position model. The record is from RNAcentral.